RNAcentral lists this ribosomal RNA (234 nucleotides) under uncultured bacterium. RNAcentral describes it as "partial 16S ribosomal RNA". It matches the Rfam family "Bacterial small subunit ribosomal RNA", at positions 524 to 752 of the family's 1533-position model. The record is from RNAcentral.
UACGUAGGGAGCAAGCGUUGUCCGGAAUCAUUGGGCGUAAAGCGCGCGUAGGCGGCCCGAUAAGUCCGUUGUGAAAGUCAAAGGCUCAACCUUUGAAUGCCGAUGGAUACUGUCGGGCUAGAGUCCGGAAGAGGCGAGUGGAAUUCCUGGUGUAGCGGUGGAAUGCGCAGAUAUCAGGAGGAACACCAGUAGGCGAAGGCGGUCUCGUGGGCCGUAUGACUGACGCUAGGAGGA